GAGGGGUCCUGACAGUCAGCCAAGUGCCACCCCCAACCCUAGGUUCAGGUUUCACCAAAGCUACAGAUAUCCUCCAUGUCAGGCUUAGCCCUGGGCCCUCGGCCUCGUGCAGAGCAGGGCCUUAGUUACAGUAGUGGGGUUCUGACCUCAGCCAGGAGUCAGGGCUAGGACUCUGGGGGUCCAGGUUGGAAGGGGAGGUGGUGGUAGAGCUGGGGCAGGAUCUGCCAAUGAUGGCAGCCAUUCCUGUGUAUCCAUUCCCAGAUUAUGCCUUAACCCUCUCACUUUGCAGACAACCAGGAUUGGAGUUGCUGUUAAUGGGGUCCGCAAGCACUGCUCAGACAAGGAGGUGGUGUCCUUGGCCAAAGUCCUUAUCAAAAACUGGAAGCGGCUGCUAGACUCCCCUGGACCCCCAAAAGGAGAAAAAGGAGAGGAAAGAGAAAA
RNAcentral lists this long non-coding RNA (441 nucleotides) under Homo sapiens (human). RNAcentral's name for it is "non-protein coding lnc-ASAP3-2:2". Lineage: Eukaryota; Metazoa; Chordata; Mammalia; Primates; Hominidae. The record is from RNAcentral.